This 270-nucleotide ribosomal RNA is filed under the name Streptomyces sp. RNAcentral describes it as "partial 16S ribosomal RNA". It matches the Rfam family "Bacterial small subunit ribosomal RNA", at positions 113 to 382 of the family's 1533-position model. Lineage: Bacteria; Bacillati; Actinomycetota; Actinomycetes; Kitasatosporales; Streptomycetaceae. The record is from RNAcentral.
ACACGUGGGCAAUCUGCCCUUCACUCUGGGACAAGCCCUGGAAACGGGGUCUAAUACCGGAUACUGACCCUUGCAGGCAUCUGCGAGGUUCGAAAGGUCCGGCGGUGAAGGAUGAGCCCGCGGCCUAUCAGCUUGUUGGUGAGGUAAUGGCUCACCAAGGCGACGACGGGUAGCCGGCCUGAGAGGGCGACCGGCCACACUGGGACUGAGACACGGCCCAGACUCCUACGGGAGGCAGCAGUGGGGAAUAUUGCACAAUGGGGCGAAAGC